AUUUGUGAAACCAGGAAAAAAUCGGCAAAAUUUAUAUUUACAAAUGACAGAUUUUCUCGACAAGAAAUACGUAUUAGCUGUUUUAAAACGCCAACGUCGCAUUUAACCGAAUUAUGAUUUUUAAAUAAGAUGGACAAAAUUGUAAAAUAGUUAUUAAUGAUUAGAUCUCUUCACUGAUACUAUAAAUUACAUUAGCUAUUAUUUCUUUGAACUGCAUGAAUAAUUUAUAACAGAUAUUUUUUUUAUUUUGAAUUUAUUAUGAAAAUUUCUCCGCGUAAUCUACAAGUAAGAAAAAUAAAUAAUUAAAAUAAUGAUUAAAUAAAUAAUAAAUAAUUUAUUUUCUAGUGAAGUCAAUUUUUUAUAACCAAAUUAGCUGUCUCGAAAGAGCGAUAAUCAAGUGGCAAUACCAUAAAUAAUAUUCAUAUUUUUUUCGAAUCCAAGUCGGUGCCAUUUUUAUUUGGCUAAAAAAAACUUAAAAAACCUAUUACAUUUAAAGCUUAAUUGAUCAAAGCCUCCAUUUUAGCGGCUAACGCAUUCAAAUGUUAAAUAUCAAAUACAGCAUAUUAUCUAUGAAUAGCUAGGUACUGGACAUAAACUUUUAGGGGGGUAUACAGUCAAGUCUUUAUCAGUAUUUUAACAAUGGCAGUUGAUUAGAAGAAAAAAAGGGUUGUACUUUUCGAAAAAUCGUCCAAUAAAGGUUUUGGAUAUUGUUUUACUUUUAUUUUAAUCAAUCUUUAAUUUAUUAAUUUGGCAAAAAUGGCGUAUUUCGUUAUCACUGUCCGAAACCAUAAAAUCAAGCUUCCGCCGAAAUAUCCACAAUCGUAAUUAUUUCGCCGCGUUUUGACGGCCAAAGGAAGACCUUAAUCCGCACUAGCGGUUACUAAUUGGAUAAAAAGAGAGUUCUUAACAAGGUUAUCGCGAAUUUCAGUAGAAUUAUGCGGCCAUAAACCAGGAAAUUCCCUUCUUUUCCGAAUCAUUUUGUCAAAAAUUUGAUUGAUUUGUUUGCUUUGACACUCAAUUGGGCCUAAUAUCCGUCAAUAAUUAAUAUCGAUUUCAUCAAUAAAUCCGAUAUGUCACACAUGAAUGAUGAAUAGUUUGUAAUUGACUUUUUCAGCCGUUUCUUAUCCCACCUUAUACACGCCGAGAACCCACUUAUGGCCCACUUACCCACCUUUGAGUUUUUUCUCGCAGUUUUGCCACUUUUCCAAACGAAAAGGUGGCCAAGUUCGCUUCACGGCGAAUCAAACCGACGCUCUAGAAAAACGUUUCACUUCACACAAAUACUUGAGCCCAGAAGAUAGGAAAUUAUUGGCAGAGUCGUUGAAACUCACAGAUCGACAGGUAAAAACGUGGUUUCAAAAUCGCAGAGCAAAGUGGAGACGCUGCAAUUCAUCGAGCGAAGUUUCCUCGACGGAAAAUAAAUGUAUCUUUGUGUGUAAUAAAGCGGACAAGUCAAGUGACUAAA
RNA transcript from Tribolium castaneum (red flour beetle), 1465 nucleotides. RefSeq lists it as uncharacterized. The record is from RefSeq and is a predicted model, not a curated record. The transcript has 2 exons. NCBI's taxonomy places the organism in Eukaryota, Metazoa, Arthropoda, Insecta, Coleoptera, Tenebrionidae.